Molecule: RNA transcript, 4276 nt
Organism: Spinacia oleracea (spinach)
Lineage: Eukaryota; Viridiplantae; Streptophyta; Magnoliopsida; Caryophyllales; Amaranthaceae
Exons: 10
Source: RefSeq, a predicted model, not a curated record
CAGGGCGCGUUUUGUUUUUGGUUUCCCUCCUCACUGCUUUUCACGAGUUUGAUUAGGGCCUCUGCGUUCCUUUUUCUCUUUAGCCCUCCCUCUGCGUUCUUCUUUAGCCCUCCUCCUCCUUCUUGUCGGUUGUCAUCUUCCAUCAUCGUUCCUUGAAGCAACAUAUUGCGGCUCUAGAUUGGAGAUAUAGAAAGUGGCGAAAUCCAGUUCUGAAUUGGCAAGAAGAACCACGUUAGUUUAGAACACAAAAUUUGGGUGAGUAGUCAACAAGGUCGAAAGCGUAGGUGGACUAGCGCACAAAGCCAUAUGAAUGAUUUUAUUGAUUGGUUUCAAGAAAGGGUUUUAAGGGAACAAGUUCAGGGCGAACUUUUCUGGGUGGCCAAGGGUCCUAACCCUAAGGCUAGGAGGUAUUCUGGGUAUUUUAUCAAUGGUUAUAGGUUCAACACAAGGGAUCGUGAUUCACGAUUAAAUACUCAAAAUAGUGGAGUCACUUUAACAGCCCUAACUUCUAGUUUUGCAAGCUCAAGGGAUCAAAAUCCUAUUGAUGGAGAUGUUACCUACUAUGGAGUAAUAGAAGAGAUUUUUUUAGACUUUUGGUCUCAAUUCAAUGUUGUUUUAUUUAGGUGUGAUUGGUUUCUUGGCAAUAUUGAUGCGUGUGGGCUUAUUUUUGUUAAUUUUAAGAAGAAAUGUUCCAAAGAUGAUCCUUUUGUAUUGGCAUCUCAAGUUCAUCAAGUUAUCUAUUCCCAAGAUCCUGAAGAAUACGAUAUUCAAUAUGUGAGUCACAGUGUUCCUACAGACCUUUUUGAUUUUGGAGAGUCAAUGGAUGGAGAUACAUAUUGGGAGGAGCCUAUUAAUUUCAGUUGUAAUAAUGCUCCUACUAUUGAUACAACUGAUAUUCAUGCAAGUGCUGGCGGUGAUGUGCGAUCUGUAGAAAUUAAUGAGUUAUUAGAUACUGAUGAUGAAAAUGACCUUGCCGAAGAUGAUGAUUUUGAUGAUACAUAUUGGGAUUGGAUGGAAGCUACCGAUGAUAUCCUGGCUUCUGAGUCACAGGGGUUUACUAAGGAUACUUAAAGGAUUGUAGUUUCUUAAAUAUACUAUUUUUAUAAUUUUGCCUUUUCUUUUUACCAUCAAACAUUCUUAUAUGCUAUUAUUUUGUUUUAUGUCAUUGAUUAAUUAUAAGCUAGUAAUGAUGUUCCAGAAUUAUUUGAUGUUCUUCUGGUUGUUUCUUAAUAGUGUUGGUAAAGUUAUUUUUCUAAUUGCGUGGCUUGUUGUGGAUUCAUAAUUGUGUUUUGUAUGAUGUAACUUUUAAUACCAUUCAUGUUUAAUCUUCUUAUGUUCAGGCAUUGUUCUGCCAUAAAAGCAGAUUCUAAAGCUACUAGAGAUACUUGUCUCAACAAUCCCAAGCAUAACUAAGUGUGUAGUUUGUGCAAGUUUUUGAUGCUUGGAGGAAUUUUAUUUAAAGAGAUCAUUUUUUUCACAAUAAUUUAUGUUUCUUUUCAGUUUCGCUAACUAUGGUAUUUCUUUUCUUGCAGUGAUUAAGAGAGAAAAUGACAAAAGGGAAGAAAAAUUCUAAAUUUGCUCCAGCAUCAUUAUCUGAACUAACAACGUAUGAGAAAGCAAGGCAAAAGAAUUUAGAAAAAAAUGCUCAGAGAUUUAGGGAGUUUGGGCUAGAGAAAUAUGCUAUUCAACUAGAGACAAAGAAUAAGGCCCUUAGACAAAAGAAGGAGAACAUCAACCCUCGAAAGAAUGACCAAGAUUACGUGCCCGAAAGUGAAAGUGAUGACGAUGAGUUUGGUAUUUCUCAAGAUGCAAAUUUAGUAACACAAGCUGCAACGUCAAAGAAGAAAGAAAGGACUAGAGAACAACCUCCUCGUAAGAAUAAGAAGAAGCCACUAUGUCCGGCAAUGAAAAUGGAUGAUUUCGUUAUGAUGCAGCAAAAUAUGAAUCCAAGUGAAGCAGAACAACUACAACAAGAAGUACACCAAUUGGAAAGAGACCAUGUAGGAUCUAAGCGUCCAAUUUCUGCCAUUGUUCUAUCGGAUAACCAAGGAGAAAGUAGUUCUGCACGACAACAUGGUGCUAAAAAGAAAGGUCGUGGACCGACUACUAUGUUUGAUGUCCAUGCUCGCAAAUUGGAAGCCCGUGUUCCUAUCUAUUGUAAUGACAAAGGACAACCUAUUGGUCCAGAAAAAAGAUAGGAAAGAGCUUACUCGGUUCUUAGGAACUAUUGCUCAUGACUACAAUUGGGCCCCUUUUACUUACACAAAUUGCAAAAAAAGUUCCAAACAAGGACAAAAUAUGGGAAGCAAGUACAUCCUUCCACCUGAAUCUGGAGAGUGGGUAUAUGAAACCCUUGAUCAAUCUUGGAGAGGAUUCAAAUGUAGGCUUAAAAAGAUACAUUAUUAUGCAUAUGACAGCUAUGAGGAGAGAUUGGAACAUCCGCCGGAGAGAGUGCCUGAAGCACAUUUCAAAAUACUUCUAGCUUAUUGGGAGACUAAUGCAGCAAAGAAAACAAGUUUGCAGAAUUCGGAAAAUCGCAAAGAGCAAGACAAUAUGCAUACAGUUGGUCCGGUGUCAUUUGUCAUGCGUUAUGACAAGAUGUUGCGUGAAAAUGGUAAGGCACCAUCAAAAAGAGAGAUGUUUGAAGAGACUCGUCGUCGAAAAGAAGGAAAAUUUUAUGAUCGACCUUAUGAUGAUACGCAAAAGAAGAUACAAGCCAUGCGGGAACUGAAGGCAUUACAAGAUGAUCAGAAUAGUGAAUCUCAUAAGGAUUCAUUUGAUGAAGUGAUGGGAAAUGCACCAGGUUCAAAAAGACUACAUGGACUAGGUGUGUCCCGUAAGAUGCAAAAAGAUAUAGAAUCAAGUACAUCUUUAACAUUGCCAGACGAGGUCAUGGACUCUAUCAAAAAAGCUGUAACUGAAGACGUGCAAAAGGACAUUAUAACUCAAAGAGAGGAAUUUGCAAAGGAAAGAGAAGCUCAUGCUGCUGAAAUGGAAAGAAUGUCAAAGGAAUUUGAGUCCCAAGCCUCAAAAUUACAAAAUAUGAUCAAGGAACCAGAAGAACCUGAAACUCUUGAUUCAAUCGCUGCUUCACUUGGUCGACUACGGAAAAAGGACCCUACCUUGACUGCAGAAAAGAUUGCAGCAGUUUUGGUGUCUACCCUUUCAAGUGAUGCAUAAAUAAUUUCUACAGACCACUCUCUUUAUUGGUCAUGGUUACAUAUAGAGCCUUUACAAAUUGGCCACAAACCAAAACAGCCAAAACAGCCACCAAAACUCCUACUUACAACUUAACUCAAUCAACAGAUUACUAAGAUCAGCAGGAGUGGGCCUGCUAAAAUGUAAGAGUUGCCGAACCUUCUGCCACAAGUGAUAAGAUAUAGAGCAUUCAAAGAACAUUCCACAGUUUCACCAGCUAAUCCACACAAAAGGCAAGAGCCAGCAGCUUGUUAUCACCUUUUGUUAAUUGUUCACAAGUUGUUUUCUAUUGUUGUACUGCAUGCCACUUCAUAACAGUCGGACAACGGAUAUGUAACCUUAGCAGAGAGUUCGAGAAAUCAUUGAUUAGUUAUCUGAAACCUCGUUUGCUGUUGGUAUAGUGCUGCUAGUACUUGAGUGCAGAAGUUAGUUCAAAAAAUGUUUCUUCAGAGCAUGGAAUUGUCAGACCACCCAUAAAAUGAUGAAACCCGAACUCUAGUUCGGCACGGUGUAGCAUGCAUCGGAAUGCAGGGUAGCUUAAGUAUGAAAGAGGCAUAACAUGUCUCUUCUUGUUAGCUUGAUCACCUACACAAACUGGAAUAUGUUCAAAGCAGACAAGAAUAAAUGCUUAUAUAUUUGCUCAUCUAUUUUCUAAUAGCUUUUCAGAUUCUGAUCUGCUGCUUGCUGUUCAGUUUUGUAAGGCUCUGAUAUGCUGCUUGUUGUUUCAGUUCUGAAAGGCUCUAAUCUUCUGCUUGCUAUUCAGUUCUAUACGGCUUUGAUUCUGAUCUGCUGCUUGUUCAGUUCAGUUCCAGUUGGCAGAUUUGUUUUGUUCAGGGUGGUAGAUAGGAGAAUGGUAGAUAAAAUGAUGGCAAGAAGGGCAUAUAUUGAACUUUUUUGGACUGAUUUUUGGCAAAUAAAUUAAAUACUAGAUAGCUUUUAGAUUGCUUGAACCAUUAGUUUUACGAGAUUCAUUAGUUUUCUAAUUGAUGUAUUUAUAAAUUAACACUUGUUUUUGUUAUUAGAAUGAUUGUUAUGGAUAUUUUAUUUUAAUAAUAAGUAGAACUUAAUUUCAAAUAAA